CCCUUAGACGUUCUGGGCCGCACGCGCGCUACACUGACGAAGGCAACGAGCUUUCCUUUACCGAAAGGUACGGGUAAUCUUUUGAAACUUCGUCGUGCUGGGGAUAGAUCCUUGCAAUUUUUGAUCUUAAACGAGGAAUGCCUAGUAAGCGCAAGUCAUCAACUUGCGUUGAUUACGUCCCUGCCCUUUGUACACACCGCCCGUCGCUACUACCGAUUGAAUGGUUUAGUGAGGCCUUCGGAUCCGCGACUCGUUUGUGUAGAAGUUGGACAAACUCAGUCAUUUAGAGGAAGUAAAAGUCGUAACA
This 307-nucleotide ribosomal RNA is filed under the name uncultured eukaryote. RNAcentral describes it as "partial 18S ribosomal RNA". It matches the Rfam family "Eukaryotic small subunit ribosomal RNA", at positions 1470 to 1796 of the family's 1831-position model. The record is from RNAcentral.